UAGAUGAAACACGGCGUUUCCAUUUAGGUCAGACCCGUGUUCUUCUUCGCCUCUACCUCUAGAGAGCUCAUGCGCAGGCAAAUCUUUUCAUCUUCAUCCUCAGAGCACGAAACGAUACCAGUUACCGAAUAAUCCUCUUGAAAUCCUCCAUUAAUCAAUCACCCACUAUCUAUAUUCAAUGCAAGUUCUGAAUCUGCAAGGCGGUACUAGCUGUUCCUCCUCAACUGUUCUGUUCAAGCCCCGUUGCUCCAUUUUUCCGAGAGGAUAUUAAUAUAAGCCGUGGUGGAGAUCUCAUGGGAGUGGAUAUGUUCCUACUAGAUUCUCAGAUAUCACAGGUUCAUCUAAUUACUAUAGCUAAUGGCCAGGAUGUGGUUGUUCAAGUUCAGCACAAUGGUAUUAUAUACUAUAGCUAAUGGCCAGGAUGUGGUUGUUCAAGUUCAGCACAAUGGUAUUAUAGCGAUCAUUGGAGGUAUUUUAAUUCUUUUGAAGCCUUUCAAAUGACUAGAAAUUUUUUCCACUCUUCUCUCAUCAGUUCUUAGGAUGAUCUGAAGAAUGCAAAGUCCAUCGUUAACUGGGUUCUGGAUUAUGUAACGGGACCACAGUUCGAUUUUGACCCUGUGAAAUAUGAAUAUUGCAAGCAAUCUCCAAGACAACUAUACUUCAGUAUGAAAGACGGUUGCUGACUACUAUCGAGAUAAACUCUAUUUUGCUUGGGCUGAAGAGAUCGCAUGAAAGACGAGUUAUGCAAGAGGAGCACAUGAGAGUUUAGGCAGUUCCAGUGGUAGAAAAUCUUCUGUAGCUGUUUUCUUAGCGUUGGUGGUGAGUUUGGAAGAGAAGCCGGCAGAGCUGCUGCUAUAGACAACUUUACAUAAGACAUAUUUGACAAUGAUUAUAUACUUUUCCAAAUAAUCUGAUAUAGAGUUAUAUCACCUUUGGUAUUAUUAUGCAUAUAACCAGUAUGCAACUUCCAGAGAUAUAAUGUGUGUUCAAUUUAUAUUAUUUUAGCAAUAACCAACAAUUAUUAUUUUCAUAAUUAUCUAUUUUCCGUUUAUCAGUAACCAA
Long non-coding RNA from Brassica napus (rape), 1062 nucleotides. RefSeq lists it as uncharacterized. The record is from RefSeq and is a predicted model, not a curated record. The transcript is spliced from 4 exons. Lineage: Eukaryota; Viridiplantae; Streptophyta; Magnoliopsida; Brassicales; Brassicaceae.